UACGGGGGGGGCAAGCGUUGUUCGGAAUUACUGGGCGUAAAGGGCUUGUAGGUGGCCAACUAAGUCAGACGUGAAAUCCCUCGGCUUAACCGGGGAACUGCGUCUGAUACUGGAUGGCUUGGAUUUGGGAGAGGGAUGCGGAAUUCCAGGUGUAGCGGUGAAAUGCGUAGAUAUCUGGAGGAACACCGGUGGCGAAGGCGGCAUCCUGGACCAAUAUUGACGCUGAGGAGCGAAAGCCAGGGGAGCAAACGGG
RNAcentral lists this ribosomal RNA (253 nucleotides) under uncultured bacterium. Its description in RNAcentral is "partial 16S ribosomal RNA". It matches the Rfam family "Bacterial small subunit ribosomal RNA", at positions 524 to 776 of the family's 1533-position model. The record is from RNAcentral.